RNAcentral lists this ribosomal RNA (448 nucleotides) under uncultured bacterium. Its description in RNAcentral is "bacterial SSU rRNA". It matches the Rfam family "Bacterial small subunit ribosomal RNA", at positions 329 to 794 of the family's 1533-position model. The record is from RNAcentral.
UUCCAGACUCCUACGGGAGGCAGCAGUGGGGAAUAUUGCACAAUGGGGGAAACCCUGAUGCAGCGACGCCGCGUGAGUGAAGAAGUAUUUCGGUAUGUAAAGCUCUAUCAGCAGGGAAGAAAAUGACGGUACCUGACUAAGAAGCCCCGGCUAACUACGUGCCAGCAGCCGCGGUAAUACGUAGGGGGCAAGCGUUAUCCGGAUUUACUGGGUGUAAAGGGAGCGUAGACGGCAUGGCAAGUCAGAUGUGAAAGCCCGGGGCUCAACCCCGGGACUGCAUUUGAAACUGUUGGUCUUGAGUAUCGGAGAGGCAGGCGGAAUUCCUAGUGUAGCGGUGAAAUGCGUAGAUAUUAGGAGGAACACCAGUGGCGAAGGCGGCCUGCUGGACGACAACUGACGGUGAGGCGCGAAAGCGUGGGGAGCAAACAGGAUUAGAUACCCUCGUACA